UACGAAGGGGGCUAGCGUUGUUCGGAAUUACUGGGCGUAAAGCGCGCGCAGGCGGUCUUCCAAGUCAGUGGUGAAAGCCCGGAGCUCAACUCCGGAACUGCCAUUGAAACUGUGAGACUUGAGUACGAGAGAGGUGAGUGGAAUUCCCAGUGUAGAGGUGAAAUUCGUAGAUAUUCGCAAGAACACCAGUGGCGAAGGCGGCUCACUGGCCCGGAACUGACGCUGAGACGCGAAAGCGUGGGGAGCAAACAGG
RNAcentral lists this ribosomal RNA (253 nucleotides) under uncultured prokaryote. RNAcentral describes it as "partial 16S ribosomal RNA". It matches the Rfam family "Bacterial small subunit ribosomal RNA", at positions 524 to 776 of the family's 1533-position model. The record is from RNAcentral.